Molecule: small RNA, 29 nt
Filed under: Bombyx mori (domestic silkworm)
Lineage: Eukaryota; Metazoa; Arthropoda; Insecta; Lepidoptera; Bombycidae
Description: ovarian small RNA-22071
Source: RNAcentral
UAGAUACCGUCCUUAUUGCCCAAAUAGGC